RNAcentral lists this ribosomal RNA (2877 nucleotides) under Cupriavidus taiwanensis. RNAcentral describes it as "bacterial LSU rRNA". It matches the Rfam family "Bacterial large subunit ribosomal RNA". The record is from RNAcentral. RNAcentral also lists the same sequence under 1 other name. Lineage: Bacteria; Pseudomonadati; Pseudomonadota; Betaproteobacteria; Burkholderiales; Burkholderiaceae.
UCAAGCGAACAAGUGCAUGUGGUGGAUGCCUUGGCGAUCACAGGCGAUGAAGGACGCGGUAGCCUGCGAAAAGCUUCGGGGAGCUGGCAAACGAGCUUUGAUCCGGAGAUGUCCGAAUGGGGAAACCCGGCCCGUAUGGGUCAUCCCACACUGAAUCCAUAGGUGUGGGAAGCGAACGCGGCGAACUGAAACAUCUAAGUAGCUGCAGGAACAGAAAUCAACCGAGAUUCCCAAAGUAGUGGCGAACGAAAUGGGAUGAGCCUUGUACUCUUUAGCAGUGGUGUUAGCAGAACGGGAUGGAAAGCCCGGCCAUAGCAGGUGAUAGCCCUGUAUGCGAAAACACGAUUGUGGAACUAGGUGUACGACAAGUAGGGCGGGACACGUGAAAUCCUGUCUGAAGAUGGGGGGACCAUCCUCCAAGGCUAAAUACUCGUGAUCGACCGAUAGUGAACCAGUACCGUGAGGGAAAGGCGAAAAGAACCCCGGGAGGGGAGUGAAAUAGAUCCUGAAACCGCAUGCAUACAAACAGUCGGAGCCCUUUCGGGGGUGACGGCGUACCUUUUGUAUAAUGGGUCAGCGACUUACAUUCAGUGGCAAGCUUAACCGAUUAGGGAAGGCGUAGCGAAAGCGAGUCCGAACAGGGCGUUGAGUCGCUGGGUGUAGACCCGAAACCAGAUGAUCUAUCCAUGGCCAGGUUGAAGGUGCGGUAACACGUACUGGAGGACCGAACCCACUAACGUUGAAAAGUUAGGGGAUGAGCUGUGGAUAGGGGUGAAAGGCUAAACAAAUCUGGAAAUAGCUGGUUCUCUCCGAAAACUAUUUAGGUAGUGCCUCGUGUCUCACCUUCGGGGGUAGAGCACUGUCAUGGUUGGGGGGUCUAUUGCUGAUUACCCCGCCAUAGCAAACUCCGAAUACCGAAGAGUGCAAUCACGGGAGACAGACAUCGGGUGCUAACGUCCGGUGUCAAGAGGGAAACAACCCAGACCGCCAGCUAAGGUCCCCAAGAUUGGCUAAGUGGGAAACGAAGUGGGAAGGCUAAAACAGUCAGGAGGUUGGCUUAGAAGCAGCCACCCUUUAAAGAAAGCGUAAUAGCUCACUGAUCGAGUCGUCCUGCGCGGAAGAUGUAACGGGGCUAAGCCAGUCACCGAAGCUGCGGACGCACGCAAGUGCGUGGUAGGAGAGCGUUCUGUAAGCCUGUGAAGGUGUCUUGUAAAGGAUGCUGGAGGUAUCAGAAGUGCGAAUGCUGACAUGAGUAGCGAUAAAGGGGGUGAAAGGCCCCCUCGCCGUAAGCCCAAGGUUUCCUACGCAACGUUCAUCGGCGUAGGGUGAGUCGGCCCCUAAGGCGAGGCAGAGAUGCGUAGCUGAUGGGAAGCAGGUUAAUAUUCCUGCACCGUCGUAUGAUGCGAUGGGGGGACGGAUCGCGGAAGGUUGUCCGGGUGUUGGAAGUCCCGGUCCCUGCAUUGGAGAAGGCGCUCAGGCAAAUCCGGGCGCGGGAUUCAAGGAUGCGGGGCGAGCGGCCUAGUGCUGCGAAGCAAUUGGAAGUGGUUCCAAGAAAAGCCUCUAAGCUUCAGUCAUACGAGACCGUACCGCAAACCGACACAGGUGGGCGAGAUGAGUAUUCUAAGGCGCUUGAGAGAACUCGGGAGAAGGAACUCGGCAAAUUGGUACCGUAACUUCGGGAUAAGGUACGCCCUGGUAGCUUGACUGGCCUGCGCCAGAAGGGUGAAGGGGUUGCAAUAAAAUGGUGGCUGCGACUGUUUAAUAAAAACACAGCACUCUGCAAACACGAAAGUGGACGUAUAGGGUGUGACGCCUGCCCGGUGCCGGAAGAUUAAAUGAUGGGGUGCAAGCUCUUGAUUGAAGUCCCGGUAAACGGCGGCCGUAACUAUAACGGUCCUAAGGUAGCGAAAUUCCUUGUCGGGUAAGUUCCGACCUGCACGAAUGGCGUAACGAUGGCCACACUGUCUCCUCCCGAGACUCAGCGAAGUUGAAGUGUUUGUGAUGAUGCAAUCUCCCCGCGGCUAGACGGAAAGACCCCAUGAACCUUUACUGUAGCUUUGCAUUGGACUUUGAACCGAUCUGUGUAGGAUAGGUGGGAGGCUUUGAAGCGUGGACGCUAGUUCACGUGGAGCCGUCCUUGAAAUACCACCCUGGUUUGUUUGAGGUUCUAACCUUGGCCCGUGAAUCCGGGUCGGGGACAGUGCAUGGUAGGCAGUUUGACUGGGGCGGUCUCCUCCCAAAGUGUAACGGAGGAGUUCGAAGGUACGCUUGGUACGGUCGGACAUCGUACCUAAAGUGCAAUGGCAAAAGCGUGCUUAACUGCGAGACCGACAAGUCGAGCAGGUGCGAAAGCAGGACAUAGUGAUCCGGUGGUUCUGAAUGGAAGGGCCAUCGCUCAACGGAUAAAAGGUACUCUGGGGAUAACAGGCUGAUACCGCCCAAGAGUUCAUAUCGACGGCGGUGUUUGGCACCUCGAUGUCGGCUCAUCUCAUCCUGGGGCUGUAGCCGGUCCCAAGGGUAUGGCUGUUCGCCAUUUAAAGAGGUACGUGAGCUGGGUUUAAAACGUCGUGAGACAGUUUGGUCCCUAUCUGCCGUGGGCGUUGGAAUCUUGACGGGGGCUGCUCCUAGUACGAGAGGACCGGAGUGGACGUACCGCUGGUGUACCUGUUGUCUCGCCAGAGGCAUCGCAGGGUAGCUAUGUACGGAAGAGAUAACCGCUGAAAGCAUCUAAGCGGGAAACUCGCCUGAAGAUGAGGAUUCCCUGGAGGCUUGACCUCCUUGAAGGGUCGUUCGAGACCAGGACGUUGAUAGGCUGGGUGUGGAAGCGCAGUAAUGCGUUAAGCUAACCAGUACUAAUUGCCCGUAAGGCUUGAUCCU